Molecule: ribosomal RNA, 569 nt
Filed under: uncultured bacterium
Lineage: Bacteria
Description: partial 16S ribosomal RNA
Rfam family: Bacterial small subunit ribosomal RNA
Source: RNAcentral
UGGGGAAUAUUGCACAAUGGGCGCAAGCCUGAUGCAGCCAUGCCGCGUGUGUGAAGAAGGCCUUCGGGUUGUAAAGCACUUUCAGCGAGGAGGAAGGUGGUGGACUUAAUACGUUCAUCAAUUGACGUUACUCGCAGAAGAAGCACCGGCUAACUCCGUGCCAGCAGCCGCGGUAAUACGGAGGGUGCAAGCGUUAAUCGGAAUUACUGGGCGUAAAGCGCACGCAGGCGGUUUGUUAAGUCAGAUGUGAAAUCCCCGGGCUCAACCUGGGAACUGCAUUUGAAACUGGCAAGCUAGAGUCUCGUAGAGGGGGGUAGAAUUCCAGGUGUAGCGGUGAAAUGCGUAGAGAUCUGGAGGAAUACCGGUGGCGAAGGCGGCCCCCCUGGACGAAGACUGACGCUCAGGUGCGAAAAGCGUGGGGAGCAAAACAGGAUUAGAUACCCUGGUAGUCCACGCUGUAAAACGAUGUCGAUUUGGAGGUUGUGCCCUUGAGGCGUGGCUUCCGGAGCUAACGCGUUAAAUCGACCGCCUGGGGAGUACGGCCGCAAGGUUAAAACUCAAAGGAAUUG